This 491-nucleotide ribosomal RNA is filed under the name uncultured bacterium. RNAcentral's name for it is "partial 16S ribosomal RNA". It matches the Rfam family "Bacterial small subunit ribosomal RNA", at positions 28 to 507 of the family's 1533-position model. The record is from RNAcentral.
GAUGAACGCUAGCUACAGGCUUAACACAUGCAAGUCGAGGGGAAACGACAUCGAAAGCUUGCUUUUGAUGGGCGUCGACCGGCGCACGGGUGAGUAACGCGUAUCCAACCUGCCCAUCACUUGGGGAUAACCUUGCGAAAGUAAGACUAAUACCCAAUGAUAUCUCUAGAAGACAUCUGAAAGAGAUUAAAGAUUUAUCGGUGAUGGAUGGGGAUGCGUCUGAUUAGCUUGUUGGCGGGGUAACGGCCCACCAAGGCAACGAUCAGUAGGGGUUCUGAGAGGAAGGCCCCCAACUUUGGAACUGGGACACGUCCAAAACUCCUACGGGAGGCGGCAGUGAGGAAUAUUGGCCAAGGGGGGGGGGCUUGAACCAGCCAGGCGGCGUGAAGAAGGCCGGCCUUAUGGGUGUUAACCUGCUUUAUUAGGGGAAUAAAGUGGGGGUCGUGCCUCUUUUGUAUGUACCUUAUGAAUAAGGACCGGCUAAUUCCGUG